Molecule: long non-coding RNA, 250 nt
Organism: Bufo gargarizans (Asiatic toad)
Lineage: Eukaryota; Metazoa; Chordata; Amphibia; Anura; Bufonidae
Exons: 3
Source: RefSeq, a predicted model, not a curated record
AUCAUCACAGGUCCUGUAAGCACAGAACAACCUCAGGGCUGCUCUGCAGGAGGAGGUUCCUACGAUAUAGAAACAUUUCAAUUAAUAUCUUCCAUUUAACAGAGUUUGCCUGAUUGACCUAUCAGGGAUAGGAACAGAGACAAAAUGGCAGAGAUGAUAAUAAAUCUCACCCUAGAGAUACUCUUACAUCUUACUGGAGAGGAUUACACAGUGGUGAAGAAGACCUCUAGUGAGCGCUGUCAGGGUCCUG